RNAcentral lists this long non-coding RNA (926 nucleotides) under Prunus persica (peach). RNAcentral's name for it is "long non-coding RNA (PPER_LNC002902)". The record is from RNAcentral. Lineage: Eukaryota; Viridiplantae; Streptophyta; Magnoliopsida; Rosales; Rosaceae.
UGAAUGUUACAAUUUACAAAGUCGUCCCUUCUAUUUGCAUGGCUAGUUUGGCCAGAACACCUAAUAAAAAUAGUAAUCGCAUGUAGGAAGUUCGUAACUUUUCUUCCAAGUUCUAAAAAAUUGAUAAUAAAUUAUAUUUAACAAAAGGGUUGAUUAUAUAAAAUUACACAACUUUUGGGAGUCGUUUCAACUAGUACUCAAUCUUGAAAAUGUUUCAACUAGUACUCAAUCUUGAAAAUCUUGCACGUAGAUAUCAAACCUCAACAUAUUGACUAUUAGUUCAAUUAAUGGAUCCCCACCCCCUUCUCCCAAAACAUUUCUAAUUGAUUUUGGGGUGAAAACCUCAACUUCCUUCAAGAGUUCAACUCACAUAGAAAAUGUAGACUAAACUUUCCAAUAUGGGGUUCAUUCGGGUUAUGUUUUGCUUUGAUUUCUUUUUUUUUCUUUUUUUUUUUAAUUUAAAAUUUAUAAAUAAUCAAGUGAAGAGAUAGAGACAUACAUAUAGUAAUAUACUUUGGUGUGCCAAACAUUAACUGCUUGAAAGAACCCUAUCAUGGGAAGAACUUUCUAAUAUGGGGUUCAUUUGGGUUAUGUUUUGCUUUGAUUUCUUUUUUUCUUUUUCUUUUUUAAUAUAUAUAAAUAAUCAAGUGAAGAGAUAGAGAUAUACAUAUAGUAAUAUACUUUGGUGUGCCAAAUAUUAACCGGUUGAAAGAACCCUAUCAUGAGAUCUCUUCCCAGUUGCACAAGCAUAAUUUGAGCGCCGAUGAGGAGGUCACUGCCCCUUCUCCCUACUCCUUCCUUCACAUUUUGUGAGGUGUCUCAAGUCUCUCUUAUAGUAAAAGUCAUACAUGUCUUUUGUUAAAUUUCAUAAAGACAGACCAACAACUCACUAUUAACGACACUGAUAUUAUCUCCAACUUAAUCAC